CCUACGGGGGGCUGCAGUGAGGAAUAUUGGUCAAUGGGCGAGAGCCUGAACCAGCCAAGUCGCGUGAAGGAUGACGGCCCUACGGGUUGUAAACUUCUUUUGUCAGGGAGCAAUUAAGUCUAUGUGUGGUCUUAGCGAGAGUACCUGAAGAAAAAGCAUCGGCUAACUCCGUGCCAGCAGCCGCGGUACUACGGAGGAUGCGAGCGUUAUCCGGAUUUAUUGGGUUUAAAGGGUGCGUGGGCGGAAUAUCAAGUCAGCGGUAAAACUUCGGGGCCAAACCUCGUCGUGCCGUUGAAACUGAUGUUCUUGAGUGGGCGAGAGGUAUGCGGAAUGCGUGGUGUAGCGGUGAAAUGCGUAGAUAUCAAGAAGAACUCCGAUUGCGAAGGCAGCAUGCCGGAGCCCAACUGACGCUGAAGCACGAAAGCGUGGGUAUCGAACAGGAUUAGAUACCCGAGUAGUC
This 460-nucleotide ribosomal RNA is filed under the name uncultured bacterium. RNAcentral describes it as "partial 16S ribosomal RNA". It matches the Rfam family "Bacterial small subunit ribosomal RNA", at positions 338 to 795 of the family's 1533-position model. The record is from RNAcentral.